ACCGGAAGGCUGGCGGGCGAAUGUCUCGCCAAUCCGGUCAGGGCCGAAAGGCAGCAGCCGUAACGAGUUUAUCCGGGUCGUCGGUCUUCCACUUUC
RNAcentral lists this signal recognition particle RNA (96 nucleotides) under Alphaproteobacteria bacterium. RNAcentral describes it as "signal recognition particle sRNA small type". It matches the Rfam family "Bacterial small signal recognition particle RNA". Rfam says of the family: The signal recognition particle (SRP) is a universally conserved ribonucleoprotein involved in the co-translational targeting of proteins to membranes. The record is from RNAcentral. Lineage: Bacteria; Pseudomonadati; Pseudomonadota; Alphaproteobacteria.